GAUGAACGCUGGCGGCGUGCUUAACACAUGCAAGUCGAACGAAGCACUUUAUUUGAUUUCCUUCGGGACUGAUUAUUUUGUGACUGAGUGGCGGACGGGUGAGUAACGCGUGGGUAACCUGCCUUGUACAGGGGGAUAACAGUUGGAAACGGCUGCUAAUACCGCAUAAGCGCACAGCAUCGCAUGAUGCAGUGUGAAAAACUCCGGUGGUAUAAGAUGGACCCGCGUUGGAUUAGCUAGUUGGUGAGGUAACGGCCCACCAAGGCGACGAUCCAUAGCCGAUCUGAGAGGGUGACCGGCCACAUUGGGACUGAGACACGGCCCAAACUCCUACGGGAGGCAGCAGUGGGGAAUAUUGCACAAUGGGCGAAAGCCUGAUGCAGCGACGCCGCGUGAGCGAAGAAGUAUUUCGGUAUGUAAAGCUCUAUCAGCAGGGAAGAUAAUGACGGUACCUGACUAAGAAGCACCGGCUAAAUACGUGCCAGCAGCCGCGGUAAUACGUAUGGUGCAAGCGUUAUCCGGAUUUACUGGGUGUAAAGGGAGCGCAGGCGGUGCGGCAAGUCUGAUGUGAAAGCCCGGGGCUCAACCCCGGUACUGCAUUGGAAACUGUCGUACUAGAGUGUCGGAGGGGUAAGCGGAAUUCCUAGUGUAGCGGUGAAAUGCGUAGAUAUUAGGAGGAACACCAGUGGCGAAGGCGGCUUACUGGACGAUAACUGACGCUGAGGCUCGAAAGCGUGGGGAGCAAACAGG
This 750-nucleotide ribosomal RNA is filed under the name uncultured Lachnospiraceae bacterium. RNAcentral's name for it is "bacterial SSU rRNA". It matches the Rfam family "Bacterial small subunit ribosomal RNA", at positions 28 to 776 of the family's 1533-position model. The record is from RNAcentral. Lineage: Bacteria; Bacillati; Bacillota; Clostridia; Lachnospirales; Lachnospiraceae.